GCUCGUGGACGAGCGGCGGACGGGUGAGUAACACGUUGGGCAACCUACCUGUGAGACGGGGAUAACUCCGGGAAACCGGGGCUAAUACCGGAUAACGCAUNGAACCGCAUGGUUCGAUGAUCAAAGAUGGCUUCUAGCUAUCACUCACAGAUGGGCCCGCGGCGCAUUAGUUAGUUGGUGAGGUAACGGCUCACCAAGGCGACGAUGCGUAGCCGACCUGAGAGGGUGAUCGGCCACACUGGGACUGAGACACGGCCCAGACUCCUACGGGAGGCAGCAGUAGGGAAUCAUCCGCAAUGGACGCAAGUCUGACGGUGCAACGCCGCGUGAGCGAUGAAGGUCUUCGGAUCGUAAAGCUCUGUUGUGAGGGAAGAACAAGUGCCGUUCGAAUAGGGCGGCACCUUGACGGUACCUCACCAGAAAGCCCCGGCUAACUACGUGCCAGCAGCCGCGGUAAUACGUAGGGGGCAAGCGUUGUCCGGAAUUAUUGGGCGUAAAGCGCGCGCAGGCGGUUCCUUAAGUCUGAUGUGAAAGGCCACAGCUCAACUGUGGAGGGCCAUUGGAAACUGGGGAACUUGAGGACAGAAGAGGAGAGCGGAAUUCCACGUGUAGCGGUGAAAUGCGUAGAUAUGUGGAGGAACACCAGUGGCGAAGGCGGCUCUCUGGUCUGUAACUGACGCUGAGGCGCGAAAGCAUGGGUAGCGAACAGGAUUAGAUACCCUGGUAGUCCAUGCCGUAAACGUUGAGUGCUAGGUGUUAGGGGGUCCAACCCUUAGUGCUGCAGUUAACGCAAUAAGCACUCCGCCUGGGGAGUACGGCCGCAAGGCUGAAACUCAAAGGAAUUGACGGGGGCCUGCACAAGCGGUGGAGCAUGUGGUUUAAUUCGACGCACGCGAAGAACCUUACCAGGUCUUGACAUCUUCGGACAGCCCAAGAGAUUGGGUCUUCCCUUCGGGGACCGAAUGACAGGUGGUGCAUGGUUGUCGUCAGCUCGUGUCGUGAGAUGUUGGGUUAAGUCCCGUAACGAGCGCAACCCCUGAUCUUAGUUGCCAGCAUUGAGUUGGGCACUCUAGGAUGACUGCCGGUGACAAACCGGAGGAAGGCGGGGAUGACGUCAAAUCAUCAUGCCCCUUAUGACCUGGGCUACACACGUGCUACAAUGGAUGGUACAAAGGGAAGCCAAACCGCGAGGUCGAGCUAAUCCCAUAAAGCCAUUCUCAGUUCGGAUUGUAGGCUGCAACUCGCCUGCAUGAAGCCGGAAUCGCUAG
RNAcentral lists this ribosomal RNA (1268 nucleotides) under Alkalibacillus sp. W31. RNAcentral describes it as "bacterial SSU rRNA". It matches the Rfam family "Bacterial small subunit ribosomal RNA", at positions 83 to 1338 of the family's 1533-position model. Lineage: Bacteria; Bacillati; Bacillota; Bacilli; Caryophanales; Bacillaceae. The record is from RNAcentral.